GAUGAACGCUGGCGGCGUGCCUAAUACAUGCAAGUCGAGCGAACGGACGAGAAGCUUGCUUCUCUGAUGUUAGCGGCGGACGGGUGAGUAACACGUGGAUAACCUACCUAUAAGACUGGGAUAACUUCGGGAAACCGGAGCUAAUACCGGAUGAUAUUUUGAACCGCAUGGUUCAAAAGUGAAAGACGGUCUUGCUGUCACUUAUAGAUGGAUCCGCGCUGCAUUAGCUAGUUGGUAAGGUAACGGCUUACCAAGGCAACGAUGCAUAUCCGAACUGAGAGGGUGAUCGGCCACACUGGAACUGAGACGCGGUCCAGACUCCGACGGGAGGCAGCAGUAGGGAAUCUUCCGCAAUGGGCGAAAGCCUGACGGAGCAACGCCGCGUGAGUGAUGAAGGUCUUCGGAUCGUAAAACUCUGUUAUUAGGGAAGAACAUAUGUGUAAGUAACUGUGCACAUCUUGACGGUACCUAAUCAGAAAGCCACGGCUAACUACGUG
RNAcentral lists this ribosomal RNA (497 nucleotides) under uncultured bacterium. RNAcentral describes it as "partial 16S ribosomal RNA". It matches the Rfam family "Bacterial small subunit ribosomal RNA", at positions 28 to 507 of the family's 1533-position model. The record is from RNAcentral.